CCAGACUCCUACGGGAGGCAGCAGUGGGGAAUAUUGCACAAUGGGGGAAACCCUGAUGCAGCGACGCCGCGUGAGUGAAGAAGUAUUUCGGUAUGUAAAGCUCUAUCAGCAGGGAAGAAAAUGACGGUACCUGAUUAAGAAGCCCCGGCUAACUACGUGCCAGCAGCCGCGGUAAUACGUAGGGGGCAAGCGUUAUCCGGAUUUACUGGGUGUAAAGGGAGCGUAGACGGUUCUGCAAGUCUGAAGUGAAAGCCCGUGGCUUAACCGCGGAACUGCUUUGGAAACUGUGCGGCUGGAGUGCAGGAGGGGUAAGCGGAAUUCCUAGUGUAGCGGUGAAAUGCGUAGAUAUUAGGAGGAACACCGGUGGCGAAGGCGGCUUACUGGACUGUAACUGACGUUGAGGCUCGAAAGCGUGGGGAGCAAACAGGAUUAGAUACCCGCGUAAG
Molecule: ribosomal RNA, 446 nt
Filed under: uncultured bacterium
Lineage: Bacteria
Description: bacterial SSU rRNA
Rfam family: Bacterial small subunit ribosomal RNA
Source: RNAcentral